GAUCAUGGCUCAGGAUGAACGCUAGCGGCAGGCUUAACACAUGCAAGUCGAGGGGCAGCAUAAUGGUAGCAAUACUAUUGAUGGCGACCGGCGGACGGGUGCGUAACGCGUAUGCAACCUACCCUUUACAGGGGGAUAACACUGAGAAAUCGGUACUAAUACCCCAUAAUAUUCUGGGAGGCAUCUUUCGGAGUUGAAAGCUUUGGUGGUAAAGGAUGGGCAUGCGUUGUAUUAGCUAGUUAGGG
Molecule: ribosomal RNA, 245 nt
Filed under: uncultured bacterium
Lineage: Bacteria
Description: partial 16S ribosomal RNA
Rfam family: Bacterial small subunit ribosomal RNA
Source: RNAcentral